GUCUACAGCCAUGCUAUCCUGAACAAGCCCGAUCCCAUCUGAUCUCGGAAGCUAAGCUCGGGCCUGGUUAGUACUUGGAUGGGAGACCACCUAGGAAGACCAGGUGCUGUAGGCA
RNAcentral lists this ribosomal RNA (115 nucleotides) under Pteropus alecto (black flying fox). The record is from RNAcentral. Lineage: Eukaryota; Metazoa; Chordata; Mammalia; Chiroptera; Pteropodidae.